RNAcentral lists this transfer RNA (77 nucleotides) under Intestinimonas butyriciproducens. RNAcentral describes it as "tRNA-Arg". It matches the Rfam family "tRNA". From Rfam's summary of the family: Transfer RNA (tRNA) molecules are approximately 80 nucleotides in length. Lineage: Bacteria; Bacillati; Bacillota; Clostridia; Eubacteriales. RNAcentral also lists the same sequence under 5 other names. The record is from RNAcentral.
GUGCCCGUAGCUCAGCAGGAUAGAGCAACUGCCUUCUAAGCAGUAGGUUGGGGGUUCGAGUCCCUCCGGGCACGCCA